RNAcentral lists this ribosomal RNA (397 nucleotides) under uncultured bacterium. RNAcentral's name for it is "bacterial SSU rRNA". It matches the Rfam family "Bacterial small subunit ribosomal RNA", at positions 28 to 429 of the family's 1533-position model. The record is from RNAcentral.
GACGAACGCUGGCGGCGUGCUUAACACAUGCAAGUCGAGCGGUAAGGCCCUUUCGGGGGUACACGAGCGGCGAACGGGUGAGUAACACGUGGGUGACCUGCCCUCAGCUCUGGGAUAAGCCUGGGAAACCGGGUCUAAUACUGGAUAUGACUCCAUGACGCAUGUUGUGGGGUGGAAAGCCUUGUGCGGCUGAGGAUGGGCCCGCGGCCUAUCAGCUUGUUGGUGGGGUGAUGGCCUACCAAGGCGACGACGGGUAGCCGGCCUGAGAGGGCGACCGGCCACACUGGGACUGAGACACGGCCUAGACUCCUACGGGAGGCAGCAGUGGGGAAUCUUGCGCAAUGGGCGAAAGCCUGACGCAGCGACGCCGCGUGAGGGAUGACGGCCUCGGUGUAAC